This 484-nucleotide ribosomal RNA is filed under the name uncultured bacterium. RNAcentral describes it as "partial 16S ribosomal RNA". It matches the Rfam family "Bacterial small subunit ribosomal RNA", at positions 30 to 507 of the family's 1533-position model. The record is from RNAcentral.
AUUGAACGCUGGCGGCAGGCCUAACACAUGCAAGUCGAGCGGAUGAAGGGAGCCUGCUCCUGGAUUCAGCGGCGGACGGGUGAGUAAUGCCUAGGAAUCUGCCUGGUAGUGGGGGAUAACGUCCGGAAACGGGCGCUAAUACCGCAUACGUCCUGAGGGAGAAAGUGGGGGAUCUUCGGACCUCACGCUAUCAGAUGAGCCUAGGUCGGAUUAGCUAGUUGGUGGGGUAAAGGCCUACCAAGGCGACGAUCCGUAACUGGUCUGAGAGGAUGAUCAGUCACACUGGAACUGAGACACGGUCCAGACUCCUACGGGAGGCAGCGGUGGGGAAUAUUGGACAAUGGGCGAAAGCCUGAUCCAGCCAUGCCGCGUGUGUGAAGAAGGUCUUCGGAUUGUAAAGCACUUUAAGUUGGGAGGAAGGGCAGUAAGUUAAUACCUUGCUGUUUUGACGUUACCAACAGAAUAAGCACCGGCUAACUUCGUG